Molecule: long non-coding RNA, 251 nt
Organism: Dermacentor silvarum
Lineage: Eukaryota; Metazoa; Arthropoda; Arachnida; Ixodida; Ixodidae
Exons: 3
Source: RefSeq, a predicted model, not a curated record
CUUGCGAAGCAUGCAUCAACUUGACCAGCAACGUGUUCAGUACCAGCGGCCUGACCUUCGCCACUACAAGCUUGGUUCCACACUGCUAUCGGGCAAAACAUAAACAACUAGCCAAACGUCGGAAAACUGCAUUUACUGCGAAAUAAACUCGAUUAUCGCAAGAGAUAAUGUACGGCCACAUUUUACUACCUUCAACAACUUCUUUUAAUGGAGGAAUCAUGUCUGUGGGAGGUUGCCUUCAAUAUAAUAAA